ACGGAAUAGAUACCCAGGUAGUCCACGCCCUAAACGAUGUCUACUAGUUGUCGGGUCUUAAUUGACUUGGUAAACGCAGCUAAACGCGUGAAGUAGACCGCCUGGGGAGUACGGUCGCAAGAUUAAAACUCAAAGGAAUUGACGGGGACCCGCACAAGCGGUGGAUGAUGUGGAUUAAAUUCGAUGNCAACGCGAAAACCUUACCUACCCUUGACAUGGAUGGAAUCCCUGAGAGAUUGGGGAGUGCUCGAAAGAGAACCAUUACACAGGUGCUGCAUGGCUGUCGUCAGCUCGUGUCGUGAGAUGUUGGGUUAAGUCCCGCAACGAGCGCAACCCUUGUCAUUAGUUGCUACGAAAGGGCACUCUAAUGAGACUGCCGGUGACAAACCGGAGGAAGGUGGGGAUGACGUCAAGUCCUCAUGGCCCUUAUGGGUAGGGCUUCACACGUCAUACAACGGUACAUACAGAGGGCCGCCAACCCGCGAGGGGAGCUAAUCCCAGAAAGUGUAUCGUAGUCCGGACUGUAGUCUGCAACUCG
This 538-nucleotide ribosomal RNA is filed under the name uncultured bacterium. RNAcentral's name for it is "bacterial SSU rRNA". It matches the Rfam family "Bacterial small subunit ribosomal RNA", at positions 772 to 1314 of the family's 1533-position model. The record is from RNAcentral.